Molecule: ribosomal RNA, 1343 nt
Filed under: uncultured bacterium
Lineage: Bacteria
Description: 16S ribosomal RNA
Rfam family: Bacterial small subunit ribosomal RNA
Source: RNAcentral
GACGAACGCUGGCGGCGUGCUUAACACAUGCAAGUCGAACGGAAAGGCCCUGCUUUUGUGGGGUGCUCGAGUGGCGAACGGGUGAGUAACACGUGAGUAACCUGCCCUUGACUUUGGGAUAACUUCAGGAAACUGGGGCUAAUACCGGAUAGGUGCUCCUGCUGCAUGGUGGGGGUUGGAAAGUUUCGGCGGUUGGGGAUGGACUCGCGGCUUAUCAGCUUGUUGGUGGGGUAGUGGCUUACCAAGGCUUUGACGGGUAGCCGGCCUGAGAGGGUGACCGGCCACAUUGGGACUGAGAUACGGCCCAGACUCCUACGGGAGGCAGCAGUGGGGAAUAUUGCACAAUGGGCGGAAGCCUGAUGCAGCAACGCCGCGUGCGGGAUGACGGCCUUCGGGUUGUAAACCGCUUCCGCCUGUGACGAAGCGUGAGUGACGGUAAUGGGUAAAGAAGCACCGGCUAACUACGUGCCAGCAGCCGCGGUGAUACGUAGGGUGCGAGCGUUGUCCGGAUUUAUUGGGCGUAAAGGGCUCGUAGGUGGUUGAUCGCGUCGGAAGUGUAAUCUUGGGGCUUAACCCUGAGCGUGCUUUCGAUACGGGUUGACUUGAGGAAGGUAGGGGAGAAUGGAAUUCCUGGUGGAGCGGUGGAGUGCGCAGAUAUCAGGAGGAACACCAGUGGCGAAGGCGGUUCUCUGGGCCUUUCCUGACGCUGAGGAGCGAAAGCGUGGGGAGCGAACAGGCUUAGAUACCCUGGUAGUCCACGCUGUAAACGGUGGGUACUAGGUGUGGGGUCCAUUCCACGGGUUCCGUGCCGUAGCUAACGCUUUAAGUACCCCGCCUGGGGAGUACGGCCGCAAGGCUAAAACUCAAAGGAAUUGACGGGGCCCCGCACAAGCGGCGGAGCAUGCGGAUUAAUUCGAUGCAACGCGUAGAACCUUACCUGGGUUUGACAUGGAUCGGGAGUGCUCAGAGAUGGGUGUGCCUCUUUUGGGGUCGGUUCACAGGUGGUGCAUGGCUGUCGUCAGCUCGUGUCGUGAGAUGUUGGGUUAAGUCCCGCAACGAGCGCAACCCUUGUUCACUGUUGCCAGCACGUUAUGGUGGGGACUCAGUGGAGACCGCCGGGGUCAACUCGGAGGAAGGUGGGGAUGACGUCAAGUCAUCAUGCCCCUUAUGUCCAGGGCUUCACGCAUGCUACAAUGGCUGGUACAGAGAGUGGCGAGCCUGUGAGGGUGAGCGAAUCUCGGAAAGCCGGUCUCAGUUCGGAUUGGGGUCUGCAACUCGACCUCAUGAAGUCGGAGUCGCUAGUAAUCGCAGAUCAGCAACGCUGCGGUGAAUACGUUCCCGGG